Molecule: non-coding RNA, 261 nt
Filed under: Sporolactobacillus laevolacticus
Lineage: Bacteria; Bacillati; Bacillota; Bacilli; Caryophanales; Sporolactobacillaceae
Description: T-box sequence
Rfam family: T-box leader
About the family: Uncharged tRNA acts as the effector for transcription antitermination of genes in the T-box leader family.
Source: RNAcentral
CGACAAGCGAUGAUGGGAUUAAGUAGCGGUCGAAUUUGCUUUUCAGAGAGCAGGCGGUUGGUGAGAGCCUUGCAGCUAACGGCGCAGCGAAUUACCUCCCUGAGCAUCUUCUGUGAACGAUUAGUAGCGGGAGACGGCUGCAGCCGUUAACUUUAAUUAAGUGACUGUUUCUAUAAGAGUUUAUUCGAAAAGGUGACUUUUCAAACAACCUCUAUGAAAAGCAGUCGACAAGGAUGGUACCGUGCGAUAAGCGCUCCUUUU